GAUGAACGCUGGCGGCGUGCCUAAUACAUGCAAGUCGAGCGAACGGACGAGAAGCUUGCUUCUCUGAUGUUAGCGGCGGACGGGUGAGUAACACGUGGAUAACCUACCUAUAAGACUGGGAUAACUUCGGGAAACCGGAGCUAAUACCGGAUGAUAUUUUGAACCGCAUGGUUCAAAAGUGAAAGACGGUCUUGCUGUCACUUAUAGAUGGAUCCGCGCUGCAUUAGCUAGUUGGUAAGGUAACGGCUUACCAAGGCAACGAUGCAUAGCCGACCUGAGAGGGUGAUCGGCCGCACUGGAACUGAGACACGGUCCAGACUCCUACGGGAGGCAGCAGUAGGGAAUCUUCCGCAAUAGGCGAAAGUCUGACGGAGCAACGCCGCGUGAGUGAUGAAGGUCUUCGGAUCGUAAAACUCUGUUAUUAGGGAUGAACAUAUGUGUAAGUAACUGUGCACAUAUUGACGGUACCUAAUAAGAAAGCCACGGCUAACUACGUG
RNAcentral lists this ribosomal RNA (497 nucleotides) under uncultured bacterium. Its description in RNAcentral is "partial 16S ribosomal RNA". It matches the Rfam family "Bacterial small subunit ribosomal RNA", at positions 28 to 507 of the family's 1533-position model. The record is from RNAcentral.